Molecule: ribosomal RNA, 303 nt
Filed under: uncultured bacterium
Lineage: Bacteria
Description: partial 16S ribosomal RNA
Rfam family: Bacterial small subunit ribosomal RNA
Source: RNAcentral
AGCAGUCGCCGGGUAAUACGAAGGGUGCAAGCGUUAAUCGGAAUUACUGGGCGUAAAGGGUGCGUAGGUGGUUAUGUAAGUGAGAUGUGAAAUCCCCGGGCUCAACCUGGGAACUGCAUCUUAUACUGCGUAGCUGGAGUGCAGUAGAGGGUAGUGGAAUUUCCGGUGUAGCGGUGAAAUGCGUAGAUAUCGGAAGGAACACCAGUGGCGAAGGCGGCUACCUGGACUGACACUGACACUGAGGCGCGAAAGCGUGGGGAGCAAACAGGAUUAGAUACCCCCGUUAGUCCCUGUCUCUUAUAA